GUUAUCUUAACAGUCUGCAACAAUAUACUGAGAGAAGCACUAACGAAACUGCAUUUCUCUGUCAUGCUGUGCCAGCUGUAGUAUGUGGGAAACCUUGUCUCUCCCAAGUACCUUCUGUCUCUGGCAGCUCCAUGUAAACUUCAGGAAUGAAAGAAGUUGGAAGAGGAAACAUUAGGAAUUUCCUUUCAAACUCCAAUCAAAACAGCCCAUUUGAAUAUUUUUUUAAAAAAAUUCCAAAAAUUCUUCCUGUGAGGAUGCAUUGGCUAAAGCAGGUCAAAGUUGCUGAAGAGGACUAAGCGAGCCUCUUGGGGAAGAUGAUAUCAUCUGAUCUGUACACAUGUCACAUUCAGAACAUUCUGCAUGGCUGCUGCUGAGCUCCCAUCUGUCAGAUCUCAACAGAGAGAACAAAGACUAGAGAUGUGAGUAAUUCAAGAAACA
RNAcentral lists this long non-coding RNA (438 nucleotides) under Homo sapiens (human). RNAcentral's name for it is "non-protein coding lnc-ZNF804A-1:6". Lineage: Eukaryota; Metazoa; Chordata; Mammalia; Primates; Hominidae. The record is from RNAcentral.